Gossypium raimondii (Peruvian cotton) is the source of this 469-nucleotide long non-coding RNA. RefSeq lists it as uncharacterized. The record is from RefSeq and is a predicted model, not a curated record. The transcript is spliced from 2 exons. Lineage: Eukaryota; Viridiplantae; Streptophyta; Magnoliopsida; Malvales; Malvaceae.
UAAUAAAAAAUAUUUUACGUAAAAUCGUUGAUUUCACCAAAAAAGAAUACCACUUUAAAAAAAAUCUAACUCGUUUUCUAAAAACCAUUAAUUCAACAAGCAACACCACCAAUAAUGCAUUAUAUAUAGUUGCCUGCUUCUUACGACCUAUCAUUAUUGUUCCUGUCUCACAUCCCUUUCUAGCUCUUCUUCUUUCCCUUCCCUUGUGUAAGGUUUUAAAAUGGCGGACUUCAAACAUGCUGAAGACGACCACGAGGUACGAUUCACUACCACACACUGUUUUCUUCUUCCAAAGACCCCCCCUGCCGGAACGCCGCUUGCAGUGAAGGCGGGCAGGGACUAAGUAUUAUUUUUAUUACUACGUUUUCAAAUAAGAAAUAUUUAAAUUCCAUGUUUUCACGAACAGAGCUGAGUCCCAUACUGUUUUUUUUUAAUAAGAUUGAUGAAUGGAUCAACGGUUCUGAUGUUC